CCAACAUUCAACAUGUUUGGUUACCAUGGUAUUGGAGGACUCCGCGCACGCGGCCACGCGCAGCGCUUCACUUCACUUAAUUACGAACACCUGACCUGCAGCAGAAUUCAGAGAGACGCACUAACUUGCACAGCAUUGAAUGGAAAAGGCUUUGUCCAUGUCCAGUUGAGGGGCAUCAAGAACACGCAGAUGGCCUAAACCUGUGUCAGCCUGGACAGACUGCAGUUCUGCUACUCCAUGCCAAGGCUUUUGUAUGGAUGUCUUGACUGCUACUGUGUUCUCUAAAGGUUUUCUGGAAGCUCCAUUUGAGGGCAUCAAGGACAUACUGAUGGCCUAAACCAGUGUCAGCCUAGACAGACAGACAUCUAUUGCAGUUCUGCUACACAAGACCAAACUCUCUGCUUUUGUAUGGAUGUCUGACUAGUACGGUGUUCUCUAAAGGUGUAACUGGAGCAAAACAACAGCACCCGUUACAGUGAAAUUUGUGUUCAUAAAAGAUAGUGAUAUAUCAGGUAUAGUAACAGGUCCAGUACAUUUGUCAUAAAGGUUAAAUCACAGUAAGUACUGUAAAAAUAACUUGUUUGCCUUUGCCACAACAGGUCAUGGUGUGUGCAUACUGCUCGUAGUAAACACACGCUGAUCUGAUGCGGGAGAGAUAUAUGCAAACACAUUUGUAUUUACUGUUUUGUUUUGCCUCACUAAAGUGUUGUUGGAGCUUGGUAUGUUCACAGUUGAAAUCACUGAAGUCACAUGGAACGUUUUGACAAUGUGUUUUGUGCCUUAUCUUGACAAUGACCAUC
Molecule: non-coding RNA, 800 nt
Organism: Danio rerio (zebrafish)
Lineage: Eukaryota; Metazoa; Chordata; Actinopteri; Cypriniformes; Danionidae
Source: Ensembl